ACGCUCGACACCUACUGGAGGCAGCAGUGAGGAAUAUUGGUCAAUGGGCGCUAGCCUGAACCAGCCAAGUAGCGUGAAGGAUGAAGGCUCUAUGGGUCGUAAACUUCUUUUAUAUAAGAAUAAAGUGCAGUAUGUAUACUGUUUUGUAUGUAUUAUAUGAAUAAGGAUCGGCUAACUCCGCGCCAGCAGCCGCGGUAAUCUGAGCGGGCUGGCAAGGC
This 218-nucleotide ribosomal RNA is filed under the name uncultured bacterium. RNAcentral's name for it is "partial 16S ribosomal RNA". It matches the Rfam family "Bacterial small subunit ribosomal RNA", at positions 328 to 539 of the family's 1533-position model. The record is from RNAcentral.